AAAAAAUUAAGUAGUCAUGGAUUAUUUUAGAGCAUGGAUUGAGGCAUGGAUUUAAUUCCAAUCCAUGCUAAUCUAGAGCGGGAUUGGUGUAAACGAACAAAGUCUGAGGUGGUGCAUCAUGGGUUCAUUCCUCAAAUUUGGUGGGAUGAACUCAUUCCUCAUAUUAGUACUAACUAACUAACUAUGAGGAAUGAGGUGAUGAUGGAUCAACUCAUUCCAUUCCACAAACCAAACAAAAUUAGUGAGGAGUGAGAAGAUGAUGGACUAACUCAUUCCUCAAACCAAACACCCUAUUAGUAAGUUAAUUCGAUCCGAAUUCAUGCUAUUGUGUAUCGGCCCCAGCUCAUGUGUCAUAUCCACGAAUUGUGUAUUUUGCAGGUUGGCCAGAACGCAGGGUGUGGGGAAUUGGUGAGCGACUGCAGCCAUGUCUGUGGCCACCGGCGUGAGCGACGCGGCCAUCGCAGUGCGCGAUAAGCUCUGUGGCAAGAUUGGCGAGACCAAGGUGAAGCGGUACUGGCCAGAAAAGCCGUCUGAGUGGGCCAACUAGAGAUGACAAUGGGUACCCGCGACUCGAUACCUGAUGUAUAUUUACUCCAUUAGGGUAUGUAUGUAGACUAAAUAUUCUACCCGUGAGUCUGUUAUUGGGUAAAAAUCUUCACUCAAUGGGUAAACGAGUAUUAGAACGUUCGCCUUCACCCAUACCCGUUAACUCGUGGGUAUAAAAUACCCAAUAUAAACUUAGCCCAAGCAUGAACUUGGACUUUAGUCAUCCAUCUUUUUUACUAUUUAACAAACUGUAAUGUCAUAGAAGCCUUAACGACAAUUUAAUGACCAUGUAAUGGAACAUGUAAUGUGCUAUGUAGUACUAUCCUAGUGUUACUAUUUUAUCCAAUUACCUUUGGUGUGCUGAAUGGAUGGUUAAAUGAUGCUAGAAAAUUUUGCAAUGGUA
RNAcentral lists this long non-coding RNA (949 nucleotides) under Zea mays. RNAcentral describes it as "long non-coding RNA (ZMAY_LNC001099)". The record is from RNAcentral. Lineage: Eukaryota; Viridiplantae; Streptophyta; Magnoliopsida; Poales; Poaceae.